AUUGAACGCUGGCGGCAGGCUUAACACAUGCAAGUCGAGCGGAGACUUCGGUCUUAGCGGCGAACGGGUGAGUAAUACCUAGGAAUCUGCCUAUUAGUGGGGGAUAACGAAUCGAAAGGUUCGCUAAUACCGCAUACGUCCUACGGGAGAAAGGGGGGGAUCUUCGGACCUCUCGCUAAUAGAUGAGCCUAGGCCGGAUUAGCUAGUUGGUAGGGUAAAGGCCUACCAAGGCGACGAUCUGUAGCUGGUCUGAGAGGAUGGCCAGCCACACUGGAACUGAGACACGGUCCAGACUCCUACGGGAGGCAGCAGUGGGGAAUAUUGGACAAUGGGGGCAACCCUAAUCCAGCCAUGCCGCGUGUGUGAAGAA
RNAcentral lists this ribosomal RNA (370 nucleotides) under uncultured bacterium. RNAcentral's name for it is "bacterial SSU rRNA". It matches the Rfam family "Bacterial small subunit ribosomal RNA", at positions 30 to 412 of the family's 1533-position model. The record is from RNAcentral.